RNAcentral lists this ribosomal RNA (2928 nucleotides) under Salmonella enterica subsp. enterica serovar Enteritidis. RNAcentral's name for it is "23S ribosomal RNA". It matches the Rfam family "Bacterial large subunit ribosomal RNA". RNAcentral also lists the same sequence under 5 other names. The record is from RNAcentral. Lineage: Bacteria; Pseudomonadati; Pseudomonadota; Gammaproteobacteria; Enterobacterales; Enterobacteriaceae.
GGGUUGUGAGGUUAAGCGACUAAGCGUACACGGUGGAUGCCCUGGCAGUCAGAGGCGAUGAAGGGCGUGCUAAUCUGCGAUAAGCGCCGGUAAGGUGAUAUGAACCGUUAUAACCGGCGAUACCCGAAUGGGGAAACCCAGUGUGAUUCGUCACACUAUCAUUAACUGAAUCCAUAGGUUAAUGAGGCGAACCGGGGGAACUGAAACAUCUAAGUACCCCGAGGAAAAGAAAUCAACCGAGAUUCCCCCAGUAGCGGCGAGCGAACGGGGAGGAGCCCAGAGCCUGAAUCAGCAUGUGUGUUAGUGGAAGCGUCUGGAAAGGCGCGCGAUACAGGGUGACAGCCCCGUACACAAAAGCGCAUGUGCUGUGAGCUCGAUGAGUAGGGCGGGACACGUGGUAUCCUGUCUGAAUAUGGGGGGACCAUCCUCCAAGGCUAAAUACUCCUGACUGACCGAUAGUGAACCAGUACCGUGAGGGAAAGGCGAAAAGAACCCCGGCGAGGGGAGUGAAAAAGAACCUGAAACCGUGUACGUACAAGCAGUGGGAGCACAGGUUUACCUGUGUGACUGCGUACCUUUUGUAUAAUGGGUCAGCGACUUAUAUUCUGUAGCAAGGUUAACCGAAUAGGGGAGCCGGAGGGAAACCGAGUCUUAAUUGGGCGUUAAGUUGCAGGGUAUAGACCCGAAACCCGGUGAUCUAGCCAUGGGCAGGUUGAAGGUUGGGUAACACUAACUGGAGGACCGAACCGACUAAUGUUGAAAAAUUAGCGGAUGACCUGUGGCUGGGGGUGAAAGGCCAAUCAAACCGGGAGAUAGCUGGUUCUCCCCGAAAGCUAUUUAGGUAGCGCCUCGUGAAUUCAUCUCCGGGGGUAGAGCACUGUUUCGGCUAGGGGGCCAUCCCGGCUUACCAACCCGAUGCAAACUGCGAAUACCGGAGAAUGUUAUCACGGGAGACACACGGCGGGUGCUAACGUCCGUCGUGAAGAGGGAAACAACCCAGACCGCCAGCUAAGGUCCCAAAGUCAUGGUUAAGUGGGAAACGAUGUGGGAAGGCCCAGACAGCCAGGAUGUUGGCUUAGAAGCAGCCAUCAUUUAAAGAAAGCGUAAUAGCUCACUGGUCGAGUCGGCCUGCGCGGAAGAUGUAACGGGGCUAAACCAUGCACCGAAGCUGCGGCAGCGACACUGUGUGUUGUUGGGUAGGGGAGCGUUCUGUAAGCCUGCGAAGGUGGCCUGUGAGGGUUGCUGGAGGUAUCAGAAGUGCGAAUGCUGACAUAAGUAACGAUAAAGCGGGUGAAAAGCCCGCUCGCCGGAAGACCAAGGGUUCCUGUCCAACGUUAAUCGGGGCAGGGUGAGUCGACCCCUAAGGCGAGGCCGAAAGGCGUAGUCGAUGGGAAACGGGUUAAUAUUCCCGUACUUGGUGUUACUGCGAAGGGGGGACGGAGAAGGCUAUGUUGGCCGGGCGACGGUUGUCCCGGUUUAAGCGUGUAGGUGUGUGUUCCAGGUAAAUCCGGUUCACUUUAACACUGAGGCGUGACGACGAGGCACUACGGUGCUGAAGCAACAAAUGCCCUGCUUCCAGGAAAAGCCUCUAAGCAUCAGGUAACAUCAAAUCGUACCCCAAACCGACACAGGUGGUCAGGUAGAGAAUACCAAGGCGCUUGAGAGAACUCGGGUGAAGGAACUAGGCAAAAUGGUGCCGUAACUUCGGGAGAAGGCACGCUGACACGUAGGUGAAGUGAUUUACUCAUGGAGCUGAAGUCAGUCGAAGAUACCAGCUGGCUGCAACUGUUUAUUAAAAACACAGCACUGUGCAAACACGAAAGUGGACGUAUACGGUGUGACGCCUGCCCGGUGCCGGAAGGUUAAUUGAUGGGGUCAGCGCAAGCGAAGCUCCUGAUCGAAGCCCCGGUAAACGGCGGCCGUAACUAUAACGGUCCUAAGGUAGCGAAAUUCCUUGUCGGGUAAGUUCCGACCUGCACGAAUGGCGUAAUGAUGGCCAGGCUGUCUCCACCCGAGACUCAGUGAAAUUGAACUCGCUGUGAAGAUGCAGUGUACCCGCGGCAAGACGGAAAGACCCCGUGAACCUUUACUAUAGCUUGACACUGAACAUUGAGCCUUGAUGUGUAGGAUAGGUGGGAGGCUUUGAAGUGUGGACGCCAGUCUGCAUGGAGCCGACCUUGAAAUACCACCCUUUAAUGUUUGAUGUUCUAACGUGGACCCGUUACCCGGGUUGCGGACAGUGUCUGGUGGGUAGUUUGACUGGGGCGGUCUCCUCCUAAAGAGUAACGGAGGAGCACGAAGGUUGGCUAAUCCUGGUCGGACAUCAGGAGGUUAGUGCAAUGGCAUAAGCCAGCUUGACUGCGAGCGUGACGGCGCGAGCAGGUGCGAAAGCAGGUCAUAGUGAUCCGGUGGUUCUGAAUGGAAGGGCCAUCGCUCAACGGAUAAAAGGUACUCCGGGGAUAACAGGCUGAUACCGCCCAAGAGUUCAUAUCGACGGCGGUGUUUGGCACCUCGAUGUCGGCUCAUCACAUCCUGGGGCUGAAGUAGGUCCCAAGGGUAUGGCUGUUCGCCAUUUAAAGUGGUACGCGAGCUGGGUUUAGAACGUCGUGAGACAGUUCGGUCCCUAUCUGCCGUGGGCGCUGGAGAACUGAGGGGGGCUGCUCCUAGUACGAGAGGACCGGAGUGGACGCAUCACUGGUGUUCGGGUUGUCAUGCCAAUGGCACUGCCCGGUAGCUAAAUGCGGAAGAGAUAAGUGCUGAAAGCAUCUAAGCACGAAACUUGCCCCGAGAUGAGUUCUCCCUGAGACUUAAAGUCUCCUGAAGGAACGUUGAAGACGACGACGUUGAUAGGCCGGGUGUGUAAGCGCAGCGAUGCGUUGAGCUAACCGGUACUAAUGAACCGUGAGGCUUAACCUUACAACGCCGAAG